This 2956-nucleotide long non-coding RNA is filed under the name Pelobates cultripes (western spadefoot toad). The record is from RNAcentral. Lineage: Eukaryota; Metazoa; Chordata; Amphibia; Anura; Pelobatidae.
CUCUGAGGACAGGUGUCAAUCCAUAUCUGCCAAGUGACCCUAUGUAGGAGGAACAGUCCCUAUUCUGCUCUGUGUCAGUGUGUAUCAUGGUCUCUGAGGACAGGUGUCAAUCCAUAUCUGCCAAGUGACCCUAUGUAGGGGGAACAGUCUCUAUUCUGCUCUGUGUCAGUGUGUAUCAGGGAUCUUAGGAUAGGUGUCAAUCCAUAUCUGCCAAGUGACCCUAUGUAGGGGGAACAGUCCCUAUUCUGCUCUGUGUCAGUGUGUAUCAGGGAUCUCUUAGGAUAGGUGUCAAUCCAUAUCUGCCAAGUGACCCUAUGUAGGGGAACAGUCUCUAUUCUGCUCUGUGUCAGUGUGUAUCAGGUCUCUGAGGACAGGUGUCAAUCCAUAUCUGCCAAGUGACCCAUGUAGGGGGAACAGUCUCUAUUCUGCUCUGUGUCAGUGUGUAUCAUGGGCUCUGAGGACAGGUGUCAAUCCAUAUCUGCCAAGUGACCCUAUGUAGGGGGAACAGUCUCUAUUCUGCUCUCUGUCAGUGUGUAUCAUGGUCUCUGAGGACAGGUGUCAAUCCAUAUCUGCCAAGUGACCCUAUGUAGGGGGAAGAGUCCCUAUUCUGCUCUAUGUCAGUGUUUAUCAGGGAUCCUUAGGAUAGGUAUCAAUCCAUAUCUGCCAAGUGACCCUAUGUAGGGGGAACAGUCCCUAUUCUGCUCUGUGUCAGUGUGUAGCAGGGAUCUUUAGGAUAGGUGUCAAUCCAUAUCUGCCAAGUGACCCUAUGUAGGGGUAACAGUCCCUAUUCUGCUCUGUGUCAGUGUGUAUCAGGGGCUCUGAGGACAGGUGUCAACCCAUAACUGCCAAGUGACCCUAUGUAGGGGGAACAGUCUCUAUUCUGCUCUCUGUCAGUGUGUAGCAUGGUCUCUGAGGACAGGUGUCAAUCCAUAUCUGCCAAGUGACCCUAUGUAGGGGGAACAGUCUCUAUUCUGCUCUGUGUCAGUGUGUAUCAUGGGCUCUGAGGGCAGGUGUCAAUCCAUAUCUGCCAAGUGACCCUAUGUUGGAGGAACAGUCCCUAUUCUGCUCUGUGUCAGUGUGUAUCAGGGACCCUUAGGAGAGGUGUCAAUCCAUAUCUGCCAAGUGUAGGGGGAACAGUCCCUAUUCUGCUCUGUGUGAGGAGGAGGAACGGGAAAUGAGUAGCUUGGCAUCCAACCUUGUGCAUAUGGGGUCUUUCAUGCUGUCGUGCCUGUUGAGGGACCCUCGUAUAAAAAGGCUGAAGGAGAACGACCUGUGCUGGGUGUCCACGCUACUAGACCCCCCGGAAUAAGCAGACAGUGGCGGAAAUGUUACCGAAUUACAAGUCAGAAAGGAUGCAGCAUUUGCAAAAUAAAUUAAAAAGUAUGCUUUACACAGCGUAUAAGGGUGAUGUCACAGCACAACGGGAAUCUAACAGGGGAAGAGGUGAAAGUCAUCCUCCUCCUCCCACAACCACGCCAUAUCUGCCAAGUGACCCUAUGUAGGGGUAACAGUCUCUAUUCUGCUCUGUGUCAGUGUGUAUCAGGGAUCCUUAGGAUAGGUGUCAAUCCAUAUCUCCCAAGUGACCCUAUGUAGGGGGAACAGUCCCUAUUCUGCUCUGUGUCCGUGUGCAUCAGGGGCUCUGAGGACAGGUGUCAAUCCAUAUGUCAAGGUGUCAAUAUGUCAUAUGUCAGGUGUCAAUCCAUAUUCAUUGUGAUUUAGGAAUGUUAGGUGAUUUCUGCCCUUUAUGGAAAACCAGACUCUGCAUCAACUGUGUAAUUUUCCAUGGGAGUUUUGCCAUGGAUCCCCCUCCGGUAUGCCACAGUCCAGGUGUUAGUCCCCUUGAAACAACUUUUCCAUCACUAUUGUGGCCAGAAAGAGUCCCUGUGUUUUAAAAUUCGCCUGCCCAUUGAAGUCUAUGGCGGUUCGCCCAGUUCGCGAACAUUUGCGGAAGUUCGCGAACCGAAAAUUUCGUGUUCGCGACAUCACUAGUGAAGUGUUAUGUGUGGAGUGUUUCCCUUUUCAUUUUACAAAAUGAGCAUAUAUCAAUAGAAAAUUGCACUUUUAUAAAUGAACCUUGGCCUUUACUGAGUGUAAAACUGCAGCAUUCGAGAACUGCAUAAUUUCACAAUGUUCAAUAGGUAGCACAAUGGCAACCAGGGCUCCCACCAGAAAUUCUGGGGCCUCUCACACAGCCCCAGAAUUUCUGGUGGUCUGCCCAGAAGGAUAGUGUGUUUGUGUGGUAGGAUAUGGGCUGUGUUACAUCUUAUUCCCCUCACAAGGCGACAUUACACUCCCUGGUGGUCCACUGGCAUCGUGAAGGCUGCUAGCUGUCUUGUAUAGUUGAGAAGGGGGGGGGAGAAUGUUACAUGGCAUUUUACACUUCCGACAGGCAGCAAGUCCUUUUGUGAGCCCAGCAUGCGUGUAAUUGCUGUGGUAACAAGUGGCUUGCAAGAGGAUCUGUCAGAGGUGGAACUAGGAGUCUCCUGGGACCCCUUUUCGCAUGCAAGUAGUGACCAAUGGGCUCGCAGCAGAGUGUGUGAGUAUUUUAUAUAUAUAUAUAUAUAUAUAUAUAUAUAUAAAAAAGGAAAAAAAUAAUCCUGCACUCCAUGAAAUUCAAAAUAUUGUCAGGCGAAAAUACUCAAUGGAUAAUCCAGAUAGCACUCCUAGGACUUAAAAUAAGUAUAAAACCUAACUUUUAAUUUACUUUAUAAAUAAAUCGACAUUUGUCUGUUACAACAGACUUUCAUCAGGUCCUAAUGACACAAUGCAAAUUAGUAGUGUUUGUUGCAUUUAUACAUAAUAUAUUAAAGGGACACUAUAGUCACCUAAAUUACUUUAGCUAAAUAAAGCAGUUUUAGUGUAUAGAUCAUUCCCCUGCAAUUUCACUGCUCAAUUCACUGUCAUUUAGGAGUUAAAUCACUUUGUUUCUGUUUAUGCAGCCCUAGCCACACCUCCC